The sequence is a transfer RNA, 84 nucleotides long. It matches the Rfam family "tRNA". Rfam says of the family: Transfer RNA (tRNA) molecules are approximately 80 nucleotides in length. Their secondary structure includes four short double-helical elements and three loops (D, anti-codon, and T loops). Further hydrogen bonds mediate the characteristic L-shaped molecular structure. tRNAs have two regions of fundamental functional importance: the anti-codon, which is responsible for specific mRNA codon recognition, and the 3' end, to which the tRNAs corresponding amino acid is attached (by aminoacyl-tRNA synthetases). tRNAs cope with the degeneracy of the genetic code in two manners: having more than one tRNA (with a specific anti-codon) for a particular amino acid; and 'wobble' base-pairing, i.e. permitting non-standard base-pairing at the 3rd anti-codon position.
GCUCAGUUGUGAUAAUUGGUAGUCGUGCUGUCUUGAAAACAGUUGGUCUGAAAGGACUUGGGGGUUCGAGUCCCUCACUGAGCG